Molecule: small nuclear RNA, 107 nt
Organism: Lemur catta (Ring-tailed lemur)
Lineage: Eukaryota; Metazoa; Chordata; Mammalia; Primates; Lemuridae
Source: RefSeq, a predicted model, not a curated record
GUGCUCACUUCUGCAGCACAUAUACUAAAAUUGGAAUGAUACAGAGAAGAUUAGCAUGGGCCCUGCACAUAGAUGACAUGCAAAUUCGUGACGUGUUCCAUAUUUUU